GACUCAGGUGCCUUUGCUGUUGCCUCCUUAGGCUGGGAUUUCAUAUGUUCUCACCACUAGGUGCUGCCUACAUUAGGAAUGACGAUAAAGCCUCAGUCAUUUGUGUGCCAUUUGCCAUGUAAAGACAUAUGCUCUGAGCAUAUCUAGCUGUUUUAAAAUCUUUUUAACUGCCAUAUAACAUAUAGUCAUUCCUUAAAUAACUUAAUCCACUUCAAAAUGAGCUACAGUAGUAUCUGUUUCCUUUCCUGUCCUGCUUUCUUUCAUUCUGCUCUCUACUUUGGAAACAAUCAUGUUGGGCAUUUCUGCAGCUUAUUAACUAUAUUUUCAGCUGUGGAAAAACACGUAAGUGCUGGGAAAAUUUCUUUUUUCAAUAUUUUAGCAUAGAGUAUUGCUACUUAUAUUAAGAAUUUGGAAAAGAAAAAUGGUACCAAGACUAAAUUAUUAUACUCCGAAUGAGUGAGAUAUAUCUAGGAAGGAAGCAGAUGAUGAAAGUGAUUUCUUCAAAAGAGUGAAAAAUGAUAAAUGUACACAUGGUGGCGGGGGCGUUUGCCUGAGCUUCAGCCUGUUACUCUUCAUCAUUAAGGUUUAGACAUGUCUGCAACUUUUCAUCACACAGGUAUUAAGGGCAUAAAAAAACAUGUAUUCAAAUAGAGCCCAGAGUUUUUCUUGAGGAUGAGGAGAUGUGGUUAAAGGUGAAUCCACUGUUGGAAUUCAAAUAAAGCUGGGCAUGUGUGUCGAACUUAUGUGGUGGUCCAGUAGAAGUCUAGAAGGGUUAGGCUGUGGCACUAAUUAUCUUUCUGGGAAGAACUCACCCUAAUGGAAGAGAGAGCCAGUGGGGAUAAUCUUGCUUAUAUACGUUUCCUAGGCAUUGGUGAAGAGUAGGAAGUCAGCCUACGGCCUGUAUCCUGAAACGUGGCUAGGUCCUGGAGGAAGAAAGGGCUAGAAGCAAAAAUAGAACCUUUGUGUUAAACUGUCUAACUCACUGAGAGUCAAGAAAUACUUCCUUAGUAAGACCCCUCUUUAACCACAGAAGAAAUCAAUUCUCCUCACUCUAUUGCAGGCUGCUGGACAGUCUGGAUAUCCUCAAAGCAGCCACCAGGAGAUAAUGACCAGGCUGGAUCGAGCAGGAAGAAAGACAGGGUCAUUAGGCAGAACAGAGCACACAUGCAGCACCUAAUGGAUGCUGCAAAAGGCAGCAGGGCUGCUGAAGCCACAGGGGCAGUGGCAGGCAGUGGGAGAGGGUGUCCUUCCUGGUGGAGCCUCAAGUAAAGUAAAUGCAGGUGCUGAGAAAAUUGCUUCUGAGUACACAUGCGGUAUCACCUGGGAGUGCCUGGGAGGACUUGGAGAGGGGCACAUUUACAGUUAUGGACUUCCUGCAUGAGCAAGUAGGGCAUAAAUCCAGGUUAAUUGGGUUACGGGGAUAAAGAUUUAGUAAGCCUUUUGACUUACACAUCACAUAUAUAUGCUAUUUUAGUGCAGAAAGACUUAAAUUUUAAAUAUGUUUUAGAAGCAGUGAAGUUCAAAGGCCUCCUUUGGGGUCAAUUAAGACCUGCGUAUAUGUACCUUCAAAUGUUUAAGGGAGUUGCUCCUCAAUUUAGGGGCAGCUUAAGCGAAUACGUACCUAAAUAGGCAGAAAAAACUGGCCACUGAAAAGUCUUCUGUUUUCUGUUUUUAAACUUGUAGACUCAUAUUUGUACAUUACAUCAAGCUCCAAACAUGUAGGAACAUGCUGGUCACAAUAAACUAGUGAAUUCUGCCCCAAAUAUAUAUCUCAACAUGGUUUUUCCACUGCAGCAUGGUAUACAUUCAUAUCCUUCCCUCUAUAUCUUCUUAUUUCAUUUACAAGUGUUUUAUUUAUUAAGAUCUAUGUAAUGGGCUGUAAAGGUAACAUAGACGCAAAAGUUACAGACAGAAACCCUAUGGUUACUCCAUUCUUCUAUUUGUUACACAAUCCGUGUUAUGGCACAACUAAUAUGGUCACUUAAAUGUCCCAAGUCUGACAGUCAGUGAAAAUUCAUGAUACAACUUUAAGCUAUUGUAUUGAGUGUUUAUGUAAGUUCAAUGAAUAUAGGAAGAACACAUUGAAUUCUCACCUAUAAUGUUUUCUAUAAAUGUGUGAACCAGAAUCAAAUAUAUGAACAUAGGCUAGAAAAAAGCAGAGUGUUCCGUAAUAAUUCAAGGAGUAAAAUGUAUUAAUGCUUAUUUUUGUAUAAUUUAUAGCUUGGUCCUGUAGGAAAUUACUGGAGAUUACAAUGACAUUCAAAGGUAAAAGGAUUCAACAUUACAAAUGUUCCAUUUAAUUGUACCAGAAACAAGGUGCUGAAAGUAUGAUUUAAAUACAUAUACUUCAGAUUUUGGGCAGAAGGAGAUUGAAUUAUUGUUGAAUUUGGAUCCAGAGAAAAUAUUAUAUAAGGAUUAUAUAUACAUAUAUGAUUUACACAUAAUAUACAUUAAUAGGUAAUGGCAUAUAUAUGUUCAUACCCAAAUAUAGGAGGUGAUUUGAUGCUUAUGAGUUCUUGAAACACUGCUCUUUAACUGGGAAGAGAAAUUAUGAAGGGAAUAAUGAGGAAAAGCAAAAAAAGUAGCUUUCCUCCACCAGAUAACAGUUGGUAACUUUGCAAUUUUAAUGAAAAUCUAGCAAAUCAGGUAUUGUACAACUGUUUUCUCCUCACCAAAACAGGUAAGGAGGAAGCUCAUUUUCUACUGUUGAAGUCUACAGAUGAAAAUUCCUCUAAAAGUAAAACCAUCCCCAGUAGAUGUAAUUAGUCCAGUUUUUGGUCAUUAAUAGUUCAUUUAGGUUAAUCUAGAAAAUAUAAUUGCCAGUGACAGAGGAGGAGGUAAAGAAGUUUAUGAAUCAGUAAUCUAUGGAUUAAAUAUUUUUAUGUCUUUUAAAUCAUCUAAGUAAGUAAAUUACCAUCAUGUUCCUUUAAGGAAACGGCAGAAAAUUCAAGUCUACUCCCACUCGGCACACAAAUGAACCAUUCCAUAAUAAUAUUAUCUUGACUGCAAAAAGAACAGUCUUUGUUUACAUGUAAGCUGGAAAACUUUUAAAUAAUAAUCUUGAGGGUGGAGAAUAUACAGCACUCUCUUAGGUCAAAUUAUGACCACAGUUAUAACAGACAGUGCAAAAAGCUUUGAAAGGGAUAAGAUAAGACAAAGAGAAAUGACAGGAAAACAAAGUGGCCAAAGAAAUGUUUGGCAGAAGCCCAGCAUACUCCUGGCAUCCUCUCCCUAGGCCUUUUGCCUGUCUGCAGAAUUAUCACUUAUCUUCCACCAGCUUCUCUCUCUUUAAAGAAAGGCCAGUGUACCCCUUCCAAUGCUUCAUCAAUACCUCACAUGUCACAGAGUACAAUGUAAAUGGGCUACAAGCCCAUAUUUCAUGGUUCUCCAAAACAGCUUCUCAUAAGAACAAGGUUACGCAUUUGCAAGAUUUAUAAAACAGAGGGCUGAAUCUUAAUUAGGCCUGCACUGUUAAAUGAAAAUAUUUUCUUAGACACAUUGGCACUUUUCCCUUCAAGCCAAUAAUGCUCUCCUUCUCAAACUGUCUGCUUGCUUGUUUUAAAUAAAAGGUAAGUAGAUAUUUACUUAGAGUGAUAGAGGAAAUACACACCAACUACUUGGUAUAGUAGGUAGGUGGAAAGGGACAAGGAUCCAGAUGUUCUGAGUUACAUGCUGCUGCUGCCACUAGCUUGCUUUGUCACCUGGAGACAGUCAUUAAUCUUGAUGAACCUCCAUUUGUCUGUCUAUAAAUUGAGAAAGUAGGAAAUUUCUAAGGCUGCUUGUUAGUUAUAUGAUCUGUGAUCUAACCAUAUUGGUCAAUUAUAAAGUGUCAUGCCAGAGAUAACAUUUUAUGGGUCAAUUAGAGUAUGUGGUGACUGACUGGGGAAGUCAUAUAUGAUUUUAAUAAACUUCUUUUUAAAAAGAAAUGUAAGUUCUACAAAUCUACUAAACAUAUUCCUAGAUCCUUGAUCUCACCUUCACCAAAAGGUAUCUAUCUGAUCAAGUCCUUAUCAUAAUUUUCAAACAAUUUUAUUUAAGCCUUCUUAGGCUAGUUUCUAAUUUGGCACAAGAAGGUUCAAUGUAGAUCAUCUCCCUUGAUUCUUGGAUCUUAAGGAUGGGAAAUUGGAGGUCAUGGCACAAUUCAGCAGCAAGAGUAUUAGUGCAGCCCAGGUCCUGUGGUUUGGGCCAGGCAUCUCUCCAUUGCCAGAGGUUGCCUUCAGAAGUCUGAAUGGGACACAUAGCCCAUUUUCAGGCCUUGAGAAUUCCUGUGAGAAUUUCAAGCAAGCUUUUGUUUCAACAGCUCACAUGUGCAAGGGCCACCAAGAGUUUAGUAAUGUAAAUAGAUAACAUGUCAUCAUUUAGCCAAGGAAUCACAUUAUGAGCAUAUUCAAACCACAUUCAAAAGGACACCAGAUUUCCUUGAAACAUCUGUGGAUAAAGGAAGAAAAAUCAUGGUGGAUGUGUAGCCAGCCUCCAACAUGGGCUCCAAUGAUUCCUGCCUCUUGGUAUUCAAGUCCUUGUGCAGUUUCCUCCUACAAUGUAUCAUAAUUGGUCUUUGUGACCAAGAGAAUACAGCAGAAGUGAUGGCAUGUCACUUCUGAAGCUAGGUCAUAAAAGGUACUGUGGCUUUGUGGUAUAAUAAGAAAGACAUUCUAUCUUUGUCCAUAGUGCCUGGCACAGAACUCCUGUUGAGGAACCCCUGUUCCCUCAAACCCCUGGAACACCACACAGAGAACUAUCUCCAGGCCUGGACUUCCCCUGACUUGGAGACAGCCUUAUUCUCAGAUCUCUCUCUCUUUUAAAAUGGACUAUCCUCUUUACAACCCAGAGAGCCCCAUCCAAAUAUCACUCAUUGUGGAAGAAAUCUGAUGCCAUGUCUUGAGGACACUCAAGUGGCCUAUGGAGAGGCGAACAUAAAGACAAGAAACCCAAUCUCAAGCACUAUGAGACUCCCUCCUCUCCAUCUCCAAGGGUCAGGCCAUGGUCUUAGUCAUUGCCAAGAGCAUCACAGAAGGCCUCUGCCUCCGGUUCCUACCUGGGCCCUUUCUAUGCUCGUUAACUGAUGCUGCAGCCUGACUUCUUCAAGACUAAGUUGGGCUGUAUGCUUGCAGUCAUGGGAGGAAAACAAAAGAGGGUAUAAACACAAUGCAAUGCCUCGACACAUCACUCCAUCUCAGGGGGUCAGAAAAUAAAUUAAAUGUUAGGAAAAACAGAAAAGAAAUAAGCAACAUAGUGCCAGCCUUUGGGUUCUUAGACACUCAAAAGGAAACAGAAAGUACAGAAACAAUACACCAGGAAAUAAAAGAGGGCGUUUUUAGAAGUACCAUUUAAAUUGCAAGGGCUGCAGGAAUCAACAGAAGGAAAUAAUCGGGGCGAGGGGGAGGGGACUUAAUAAGAAUAAUAAUUAUAUAUAUUCCCUCAAAUUUGUAUGGAAUUUAUAAAUUACGAGGGACUUUUCGCACAUUUGUAACUUCAUUUUAGACACGCACAAUGAAAUUAAGUAAAAUGGGGUUGGCGGGACAGAUGGUAACAUCUUUAUUUUACAGAUGAGGAACUUGGACUCAGCUAGCUUUGGCGACUUGUUGAGAAAGUCAGAACCAGUUAGUUGUGGAAUAUAAAAUUGAGCUCGGCUCUCUUCCUACCUAGUCUUUUCUCUGCUCCGCUCCCACACUUCAGUGAGAGUUGCUUUCCUGAAGGAGUAAGUUCUAAAGCAGGAUUGGAAGUUCCUAUAGGGACAAAGAGAAGAGGCAUCCAUGAGUGGCAAGGAGUGUGAAAGGGAUGAAAAACACAUAGGAAGAAAUGGAGACAGGCAGAAGGUCCCAGCUACAGGACAGAAAAGCCAGGGUGUGGGCUUCUGAGAGAUGAUGCUGAGUGGUGAGUCACGGGUGACUAAGGGAGCCAUUGACAUCAGAUUGCAAAUUCUCCCCUCCUACCCCAUGAUGAAGAAGUUUAUCUCCUAUAUCUCUUUAUAUAUGAAAAACCAUAAAGAAAACACCAGUAUCUUCACAUAAUGUACCAUCCAAUGAAAGCAUACGCCAUCUCACUUGGGCCCUUUAUCAAUCUUAGUCACAGUGCCCAAUAUCAUUUCCAUUUCUCAUUCUCUGAGUUCUGUUAUCCAAAGCUUAUCCUCUUGCCUGGACUAUAGAGACAGAGGUGAAAUCUUUGAGAAGUGGAUCCUAUCCACUUGUCAUUACACCUCUGUAAUUCUUAGUGAUGUUCUACGUUGCCUCCCACAGUGACCCUGUACAAACCAUUGCAAGAGUUUCGGGGGUGGGGGACUGUUACUUGAGCCAACUUCUUCCAUCCUGCAAAGGCAGGGAUGGAGCUCAGGAGAUGGUGUUUUGCAUCUUUACAACUGGAACAAGAUGAAAGGUCUCUGAAGCAAUAAUGAGAUCCAGGCUUGAUUCAGGACAAGAGGCCAGAUGGGAACAGUAGAGCAUUAGGAUGUUGUGAUGCUGGGGUAACCUUUCCAUAAUGAUGUUGUGUGGCCUGAAGUUUGAUGCCAAGAAUCUACAGUGAUUUCUGGCUUAGAAAUAAGAAAUUGAUCAGUAAAUGAAAAAAAAAAAAGUCUACCUGUAUCCAAUCUCUCCCCACAAGCCCCCCUCCCAGCAUUGUUAUCUAUUUGUAUACACAACAGUAUUUUAGCAAAUGAAAAUUCUCAGAAUUCUAAUCACAUCCUUAUCCCAAAGCCUGGAUUUAGUCAGAAAGCUUUAUGGUGCUUCUGACUCAGUAGAGUUAGUUAUCCUGUUUAAUUGGAUUGACGGUGACAAUUGUAAUUACCUUAGAUGAGAUUGCCUGUAAUGUAAUUAUACUUCCUUCAUCAGCAUGAGCUGGACUUGUGGAAUACAUACAGAAGAUGCCUCCAAUUACUGAGAGGUUAAGAAGAACAUUAUAUUGCCUCACAAAUCCUGUUUGUUACUGUAUAGAAUUGUAAGAAUUAUGGAAGAAACUGAAGGAAUUACUCCUCUAAAGCAGAUACUCCUGGAAAGUUACACAACUUGGCUAAUACUCUCCUGCUAGAGUUGGACAGGAAGACCUUACCAAAGCUGAAAGAUAAGAGAAACAUUUGUUUGGGCUGAGGCAGCUGUUUCAUGAAAUGCAACAUCAUAUCUCAUUUUUCUUCAUGAACUUCUCUCAUUUAACAAUUAGGCUGGAAGAACACACAUUACCAAUAGGUUCAGUCGUAUAACACUCAGAACCUGGAAAUAAUGAGUUGGAAGUUUCAGAUCCUACAAAAUAAAUCAGUUACUCCAUCAAUUCUAUAAUAUAAGGCAAAGAAUCUGAAAAUUGAAGGAAGAUAUUUUGAACAACACUGUGCAAAAGCUAUUGCUGAGUUAGGUAUUCAGUUAAGCCAAACACCACGCCUGGUUCUCAGUUUGUUUUGCAAAAGCAUUUAUUCUACAUUUUAAAUAUGCACAUGUUUCAACUUGGGCUAGAAAGACUUAACUAAAAAUAACACCACUAUCACCAAGUGAUGCUAUGGUUGACCGAUACUCCAGGAUUUGAAAAAAAAAUUCCCCAAAUGGUACAAAUUCCCCAAAUGCUACAAAUUCCCUAGGAACUGGAAGCUUUUCCUCUCCUUAAGGUGAAAGACUGCUUCUCCUCUUGGUGUUUUGCCAUUAAAAAAAGAAAGUAUUUAGCAAACAACUAGCAGAUCCAUCAAAAGGUUAGGAUUCUUUUUAUUUUAGUGCUCUUUCUUAAUGGGCAAAAUUGAUUGAUUAGUUCACCUGGAAUGUUCUUAGCCUUAGGGCAGAAACAGAGCUUUGUAUGCAUUAGUGGACUGGGUUUAUAAAAGAAAAAAGUCCACAUUCAAGAAUACAGAGAAUUUCAAAAAUACAAGAAAAUAGAAAAAAGAAAAACAAGGUCUGGAAGCAUAUUAAAAUUCUUGUAUUCAUUAAAAAUCAAAUGGCUGUGUUUUCAGUUGUAUUGAGUUAUCAUAUGUGCACUGGUUCUUUGCCUUAGUUCCAAAUGUACUCAUAUUAUCAUCUCUAAAUCCAUCUGGAUAGUUUAUACAGUGAACCCUGGAAUCACCUUAGUUUCUCCAAACUCCAUCUACUUUUUGAGAAAAAAAAAAAGCGUAAGGCAGACCUUUCCCCAUUAGAUCUCCAACCUCUGUUGCUCCCUUCCCUCACUUGUUGGUAAAACUACUUUCUGGAAAGUUUGUUUACCUUUCAGACAAGACAAGGGGUGAAACAGAGGAGCAACAACCUCCUUGCCGUUGGCUAGAAUGAAGUGAGGGGAGUUACCAGGAUGCAGUGGUAUUAAUCCCCUGUUACUCUGAUGUUACCUCAGACCCUCUUCUAUUUAUUUGGCCAUACUCCCAGCACAGUGAUUUACAUCUUGGAGGAAGUAGUAUUUAAAUGUAUGUGCAUAAGAUUCUGUUGGGGAGUUUAUUAACAAUGCAGAUUCCUGAGCUCUAGCCUGCUCUAUGAAAUCUGCAUCCCUAGCAGAUUAGCACCCAGGAAUGCUCAUCGAUAAGCUUUUCCAGCGAGUAUGAUUAGGUAGGUGGUCUCAUGACCACAUUUUGGGAAACACAGACUUAGGAUGAUAUGAAAAGUGACGUCAGGCUGUGCUAAGUGCCAAGCCUUGAGUGGAAAGGUGUUUUAAGUCGCUAUCUCAUCUCAGAGUACAUAAUAAAUAUUUAAAUUUGAGAAAACUAGUAUAUAAUAUAUAAGUAAAACCUGUUAUUAUUUGCUAUUGUUUUUCUUUAUGGUUUCCACACAGAUAUCUGAUCUGCCUUAAGCAUUAUUUGCCUUGGUGAUCUGUAAAUUCCUGAAAAAGGGCGAAAGCUUAGGUGACAUACACUCUAAUUAAUGUGGCCCUCAUAUACUGUUUAAGUAACAGAACCCUUACCACUUACAGCUGGAAAGACUUUUAAAAAAUGUAGCCCAAGCUUUUUAAUUUUUUCAGGUGAAGACGCUUUUAUGCAGAGAGAUGAACUAAUGUAGGAAUCAUUUUGUACAGGGGAGUGGUCUGAAAUAUUAAUGGGCUAUUUUAACCAUCAGCUUGAAUAAUUCAAAGGUGUCUGCUUAAUUCUUGUGCUUUCCCAGUUCAGAUGAAAAUAUCCACAAAGAGAACUAUGUAAGUAAAUACAAUUAAUCAUAAUCAAUCAUGUACUGUCUUGGAUUUCCCUAAAACCAAAACACUGAAAUGGACACAUGACAUCCUUCUGGUCCUAAUUUUCCACCAAUUCAUGAAACAUUUCAUGCUUUGCUUGGGACAGCACAAAUCUUUCAACCUCCAAUUAUAUUAAUAUUAUGAGGGCACUGAAGUGCCCAAAUGUGACAUGAAGUCCUUGAGUGUGGAAUGGCCUUUUCCAAUAGACAUACAGUUUGCAUAAAUGGAAAUGAACACAAUAUUAUCACCCCUUGAGAUUUCCUGGUUUUGGAACAAAGAGGUGGUGGUCCUGGAUGCUUUACAGUAUAAUCUCCUUUUAGAGAUUCUUAGUGCACAAUAUUAUAAAUUCAGAGUUCUUCUGAAAUAAAGAAAAACAUUACCUUUA
This 9502-nucleotide long non-coding RNA is filed under the name Homo sapiens (human). RNAcentral describes it as "HSALNT0381139". The record is from RNAcentral. Lineage: Eukaryota; Metazoa; Chordata; Mammalia; Primates; Hominidae.